AGAAUCAACGCUGGCGGCGUGCCUAACACAUGCAAGUCGAACGAGAAAGUGGAGCAAUCCAUGAGUAAAGUGGCGACCGGGUGAGUAACACGUGACUAACCUACCUUCGAGUGGGGGAUAACCUCGGGAAACCGGGGCUAAUACCGCAUAAAAUCUUUGGAUCGGAAGAACUGGAGAUCAAUGGAGCAAUUCGCUUGAAGAGGGGGUCGCGGCUGAUUAGCUAGUUGGCGGGGUAAUGGCCCACCAAGGCUUUGAUCGGUAGCCGGCCUGAGAGGGGCGCGACGGACCGACGACUGGAACGUGAAACACGGUCCAGACUCCUACGGGAGGCAGCAGUGGGGAAUUUUGCGCAAUGGGGGAAACCCUGACGCAGCAACGCCGCGUGGAGGAUGAAGUCCCUUGGGACGUAAACUCCUUUCGACCGGGACGAUUAUGACGGUACCGGUGGAAGAAGCCCCGGCUAACUUCGUGCCAGCAGCCGC
Molecule: ribosomal RNA, 482 nt
Filed under: uncultured bacterium
Lineage: Bacteria
Description: SSU rRNA
Rfam family: Bacterial small subunit ribosomal RNA
Source: RNAcentral